Molecule: ribosomal RNA, 255 nt
Filed under: uncultured bacterium
Lineage: Bacteria
Description: partial 16S ribosomal RNA
Rfam family: Bacterial small subunit ribosomal RNA
Source: RNAcentral
CGAGGCAAAGCCGCGAGGCGGAGCGAAUCGCUAAAAGCCGUCCCAGUUCGGAUUGCAGGCUGCAACCCGCCUGCAUGAAGUUGGAAUCGCUAGUAAUCGCGGAUCAGCAUGCCGCGGUGAAUACGUUCCCGGGCCUUGUACACACCGCCCGUCACACCAUGAGAGUCGGGAACACCCGAAGUCCGUAGCCUGACCGCAAGGGGGGCGCGGCCGAAGGUGGGUUCGAUAAUUGGGGUGAAGUCGUAACAAGGUAUC